This 69-nucleotide microRNA precursor is filed under the name Pelodiscus sinensis (Chinese soft-shelled turtle). RNAcentral describes it as "mir-8/mir-141/mir-200 microRNA precursor family". It matches the Rfam family "mir-8/mir-141/mir-200 microRNA precursor family". From Rfam's summary of the family: The bounds of the precursors are predicted based on conservation and base pairing and are not generally known. Lineage: Eukaryota; Metazoa; Chordata; Testudines; Trionychidae. The record is from Rfam by way of RNAcentral.
AUUGAUGUCUUACCAGACAAAGUUAGAUCUAGCUAUUUUCGUCUAAUACUGUCUGGUAAUGCCGUCUAU